Molecule: ribosomal RNA, 253 nt
Filed under: uncultured bacterium
Lineage: Bacteria
Description: partial 16S ribosomal RNA
Rfam family: Bacterial small subunit ribosomal RNA
Source: RNAcentral
UACGACGGGGGCUAGCGUUGUUCGGAUUUACUGGGCGUAAAGCGCGUGUAGGCGGACUGUUAAGUUGGGGGUGAAAUCCCGAGGCUCAACCUCGGAACUGCCUUCAAAACUGGCGGUCUGGAGUGAAGGAGAGGCGAGCGGAAUUCCGAGUGUAGAGGUGAAAUUCGUAGAUAUUCGGAGGAACACCAGUGGCGAAGGCGGCUCGCUGGCCUUUUACUGACGCUGAGACGCGACAGCGUGGGGAGCAACCAGG